This is a long non-coding RNA of Macaca fascicularis (crab-eating macaque), 5236 nucleotides long. Lineage: Eukaryota; Metazoa; Chordata; Mammalia; Primates; Cercopithecidae. The record is from Ensembl.
UGGGAGGAUUGCUUGAUCCAGGGAAGUGGAAGUUAUAGUGAGCUGAGAUCGCACCACUGCACUCCAGCCUGUGCGACGAAACCAGACCUCAGCUCAAAAAUUAAAUAAAUAAAAGGGACAAAUAUUUUGUGAUUCCACUUGUAUGACAUACCUAGAAUAGUCAUUCUUAGAGAUAGAAAGUAGAAUGGUGGUGGCCAGGGGCUAGGGAGAGGGGAAUGGGAAGUUAUUGCUUAAUGGGUACAGAGUUUCAAUUUGGGAACAUGAAAAAGUUCUGCAGAUAGAUGGUAGUGAUGGUUGCACAACAAUGUGAAUGUAUUCAAUGUCACUCAACUAUAUGCUUAAAAAUAAUUAAAUUGGUGAAUUUUUAUGUUUACGUAUAUUUUACCACAAUUCUUUUUUUCUUUGAGACGGAGUUUCACUCUUGUUGCUCAUGCUGGAGUGCGAUGGCAUGAUUUCGGCUCAAUGGAACCUCUGCCUUCUAGGUUCAAGUGAUUCUCCUGCCUCAGCCUCCUGAGUAGUUGGGAUUAUAGGCGCCCACCAUCAUACCUGGCUAAUUUUUUGUAUUUUUUAGUAGAGACGGGGUUACAGCAUGUUGACCAAGCUGGUCUUGAACUCCUGACCUCAGGUGAUCUGCCCACCUCAACCUUCCAGAGUGCUGGGAUUACAGGCGUGAGCCACUAUGCCUGGCCUACCACAAUUUUUUAAAAUGGAACAUCAGUUCAUGGAUCUGAGAAUCUGAGUUUAGGGGAUCGGAGGAGGAGGGUGGGGUGAAAAUAGAGCAGUGAUGAAACUUCUCUGGUAAAUGACCUCUCUGCCUUCCUCCCUCCCUUUUUGCCUGCUACACAGGCUGAGCCGGGUCCUAUUUUGGGGGCAAAUGCAUGUCCUUAUGUGCACUCAGAGAUGAAUAAGACAGAGCACCUCUCCUGGAGGAGCCAGUGCUACAGAUAAGUCAGGGAGGAAGUAUGGGAGCUAAUUUCACAGGUGGAAUAAUAAGGGAGAUCAUACAUCAUGUCUCUAAAUCUUCCCAUUAUUCUCCUUCCCCUCUGACCCCCAUGCAUGCUUCUGAGUCUCCUUGAGAGGAAAACCCAUAAUAUUUCUGGAGUCAAGAUUAGAUGAGAAGAUUUAAUAGCAUUAGGAGAAAAUCUGGGUCCAAUUAUGAAGGUUUAUAUGGAGCCUUUACAUUUCAUACUUGGAAUUAAGGCCAGUGAAUCCUCCAGAUGUUUUCAAAUAAACCAGACUAUCACAGAGACAGCAGAAGAGUAAUUGGAAAUGGACUGAGAGAGACGUUGAGCAUAAGCAGUCUGAGGUAACAGUUUAAGCAAGCUCACAAUAUCCCUUGCAGAAAAUCUAUUAGCAAUAGAUGUGUAUGUCAAAGAAUCUUAGAAUUUGGGAGCUUAACAGGACUUGCCUUUGCAGUUGCUAAGUCUGUUUCCUCAUUUUACAGUUGAGGAAACUGAAGUGCACAGAGAUUAAGUGGUGUGAAACUUCACACAGGAAAAUUAUGUUCUACCUGGCACUAUAGUCCUGUGCUUUGACUUUUAGUUGAGUAAGGGCUCUUGAUUUUCUGCUCACCUAUUGCUUUCCUUCAAUAAAAUGUUCUAACCUUAUAUUUUUUAUUAUUAUUUUUUUGAGACGGAGUCUCACUCUUAUCGCCCAGACUGGAGUGCAGUGGCAUGAUCUCAGCUCACUGCAACCUCUGCCACCAAAGUUCAAGCCAUUCUCCUGCCUCUGCCUCCCGAGUAGCUGGGAUUACAGGCGCCUGCCACCACGCCCUGCUAAUUUUUGUAGUUUUAGUAUGGACGGGGUUUCACCAUUUUGGCCAGGCUGGUCUUGAACUCCUGACCUUGUGAUCCACCUGCCUCGGCCUCCCAAAGUGCUGGGAUACUAGGUGUGAGCCACCGCGCCUGGCCUCUAACCUUGUAUUUUAUAAGUAGGAUUUUCUCUUCUAGUAGUGGAAUGAGUCAGAGAGGGAGAAGCAAGUCCUUGCAAAUGAUAAAUAUAUAUUGCUAUGGGUUGAAUUCUGUCCCUCCAAGGGAAUGUUGAAGUCCUUACGCUAGUAUCUCAGAAUAUGACUUUAUUUGGAAACCGGCUCAUUGCAGAUAUCAGUUAAGAUAUGAUGGGUUCUUUUUUCUGUUUGUUUGAGACAGAGUCUUGCUCUGUUGCCCAGGCUGGAGUGCAGUGGCUCGAUCUUGGCUCACUGCAACCUCUGUCUCCUGGGUUCAAGUGAUUCUUCUGCCUCAGCCUCCCAAGUAGCUGGGACUACAGGCACGUGCCACCACGCUCAGCUAAUUUUUGUAUUUUUAAUAGAGACGGGGUUUCACCAUAUUGGCCAGGCUGGUCUCAAACUCCUGACCUCAGGUGAUCCAUGUGUCUCUGCCUCCCAAAGUGCUAAGAUUACAGGUGUGAGCCACCAUGCCCAGCCUGAUGGGUUCUGGAUUCAAUAUGACUGGUGGCCUCAUGGGAGGAAGAAUAAGACACACAGGGAGAAGAUGUAGCCAUGUGAUGACAGAGGCAGAGGUUGGAGUGAUGCAUCGACAAACCAAGGAUUGCCAAGAACCUGCAGAAGCCAGGAAGAGGCAGGGAAGGGUUCUUUCCUAAAGGCAUCAGAGAGCAUGAACCUGCCAACAUCUUGAUCUCGGACUUCUAGCCUCCAAAACUGUGAGAAAAGAAAUUCUUGCUGUUUCAAGUCACUCCACUUUUUGGUAAUUUGUUGUGGCAGCCCUAGGAAAUGAAUACAGUACAUUAAUGUUGACAGCAUGUGAGUUUCCUUGGGCCAAAAGAGGUGGGUUCCAUCAGGCCUUGGGGUAGAGGCAGUUAUGAAGCAAAAGUUGGGCUGGGCUCGAAUAUUUAGUAGUAUUAAGCCCCAAAGUUCAAGCAGCCAGCAUGUCCUUAUCAGAGUCUAAUCUGGGAUACUGACAAUGGAUGAUGAACAGAAUCAGAAGCAAAGGUGGAAGAAAUAUUUGUCUUCCCAUUUGAAGAAGUUGCAGUUCCAAAUCUUUGAUUCAGCAAUUCCGAUUAGGAUAUAGAAUUUUAUGGUUUAUGCAAGUUGCAUCUCUCAGGUACACAUCGCUGACAUGAAGAGCAGCAAGUUAUCUUCCUUGUUCUCACCAAACUCCUCCUACCCCAUAUCCAGUCACAGACUAAUAUAUGUUCAAAAGCCAGAAAAGACUGUAAGGUGGUUGUUAAAACCUCACUCACUUUGGAAUCUUGCUGGACCACUGCAGGCUGACGGCAGUCCAGAGAGAUGUGCCCAUUUACUCGGUGUUAAGUCUUUGAAUUAGAAUCUCUGCAGGAAACAGGUGUACAUUCUAAAUGAGGAAUUGAGUAAAGUUUCAUGAACGGACAGUUUACAGAGGGGUGGGCAGGACUCAGGGAAGACAACAAGGUAUGGUGCCUAGGGCUAGCCAUUGCAGGGAGCAUUCACCUUUUAGUUAGACCUAAAAGGGCAAGGAAGGGAGGAGUGGCUAUAUGAAGAAGGCCACCUGACAGGAGCUGUGGUCUUUUGUAGAGGAACACAAUCAACUCAUGGAGAUGCAGCAGAGAGGGAACCACCUCACUAACAGCGUGACUUCAUUCCCCUCCUGUCCUCCUAAAUUUAGUCCAUGCUGCCUAUUGUCCAAUCCCAACCAAAGACUGAAAGACAAGGAAGCUCUUCAUACUUAAUGGUGAUAGACUGAAAGCUUUCCGCCUAAGAGCAAAAACAAUAUAAGGAUGCCUGCUUUCAUCACUGCUACUCCACAUAGUACUGGGAGUUCUAGCCAGAGCAGUUUGGGAAGAAAAAGUAAAACACUCUCAUCAUUUGGAAUCACAAUAAUCAACUAAAUUGGAACGGAAGAAAUUAAUAUUUACAGUUGCAGAAGACAGGAUUUAACAUAUAGAAAAUCCCAGGGAAUACACAAAAAAAUCUAUUAGAUCUAGUAAAUUGAUUUAGCAAAUUUCUAGGGUACAAGAUCAACACACAAAAACCAGCUGUUUCUGUACAUCACCAAGGAACAAUUCCCCCCCCCAAAAAAUUCCAUUUAUAAUAGCAUCCAGAAGAUUCAAAUACAAUUCUUAUGAAUUGUAUUCUGAUUGGGAUAUAGAGUUUUAUGGUUUAUGCAAGUUGCAUCUCUCAGGUAUGCAUUUGAUCAGAGCAUUCACCAAGGAAGGUGAAGGACUUGUACACUGAAAAGUAUAAAACUACUGAAUAAAAUUUAAAAAGACCCAACUUAAUAUGAAAUUCCAUGGUUAUGUAUUAGAAAACUUAAUAUUGUUAAGAUGGCAGUACUCCCAAAAUGACCUACAGAUUCAAUGCAAUCCCUAUAAAAAUUUUAAUGGCCAUUUUUGCGUAAAUGGAAAGGUUGAUCCUCAAAUUCACACAGAAUUGCAUGAGGCCCAAAACAGCCAAAACAAUAUUGAAAAAGAGAAAUAAAGUACUGCAAGCCUACAAAAAACAGUGUGGUGCUGUCAUAAGGAUAGACAUAUAUAUCAACAGAAUAGAGUUCAGAGUCCAGAAAUAAACUCAAACACCUAUGGUGAGUUGAUUUAUUAACAAGGGUGCCAAGAACAUUCAAUGGGGAAGAAACAGUGUCUUCAGAAAAUGGUGCUGGAACUGGAAAACGACAUGCAAAAGAAUAAAGUUGGUCCCCUACCUCACUCCAUAUACAAAGAUUAACUCAAAUGGAUCAAUUACCUAUAUAUAAGAGCCAAAAGUAUAAAACUAUUAGAAGAAAACAGGGGUAAAUCUUUAUGAGCUUGGAUUUGGCAUUGGAUUCUUAGAACUACCUCUAAAGCACAAGCAACAAAAGAAAAAUAGAUCAAUUAGAUUUCACAAAAAUUAAAACCUUUGCAAAUCAAAGGAUAUUAUCAAUAGAGUGAAAAGCAACCUACAGAAUGGGAGAAAAUAUUUACAAAUCAUAUCUCAUAAGGGUUUAGUAUUCAGAAUAUAUAAAAAAUGCUCAGCCAGGUGCAGUGGCUUGCUCCUGUAAUCCCAGCACUUUGGGAGGCUGAGGCAGGCUCAUCACUUGAGUCCAGGAGUUGGAGAUCAGCCUGGGCAACAUGGCAAAACCUUGUCUUUACAAAAAAUAUAAAAAUUAGCUGAACGUGGUGGUUCACACCUGAACUCUCACCUAUUCAGGAGGCUGAGGUAGGAGGAUUGAUUGAGCCCCAGAGGCAAAGGUUGCAGGGAGCCGAGAUCACACUACUGCACUCCAGCUUGGGUGACAGAGCAAGACCCUGUCUCAAAAAAAAAAAAAAA